Molecule: long non-coding RNA, 388 nt
Filed under: Homo sapiens (human)
Lineage: Eukaryota; Metazoa; Chordata; Mammalia; Primates; Hominidae
Description: novel transcript
Source: RNAcentral
GGGAAGAGCUGAGACUCACUGAGGACCAGCUGAGGCUCAGAGAAGGGACCCAGCACUGGUGGACACGCAGGGAGCCCACGCCAGGGCGCCGUGGUGAGUGAGGCCCAGUGCCACCCACUGAGGCCUCCCGUUCAGUGGGACGACGGUGAACAGGUGGAACCAACCAGGCAACCCCCGCCGGGCCCCACAGACGGGAUCAGAGCAGGAAAGGCUUCCUGCCCCUGCAGGCCAGCGAGGAGCCCUGGCGGGGGCCAUGGCCCUCCAGGCGAGGAGGCUCCCCUGGCCACCGCCACCCGGGCCUCUCUGCUGCUGGGAAAACAAGUCAGAAAGCAAGUGGAUGAGAGGUGGCGUGACAGACCCAGCUUCAGAUCUGCUCUAAUUUACAAAA